GAUGAACGCUAGCGACAGGCUUAACACAUGCAAGUCGAGGGGCAUCCCUGGAGUAGCAAUACAACUGGUGGCGACCGGCGCACGGGUGAGUAACGCGUAUGCAACCUACCUAUCAGAGGGGAAUAACCCGGCGAAAGUCGGGCUAAUACCGCAUAAAACAGGGGCACCGCAUGGUGAUAUUUGUUAAAGAAAUUCGCUGAUAGAUGGGCAUGCGUUCCAUUAGGUAGUUGGUGAGGUAACGGCUCACCAAGCCGACGAUGGAUAGGGGAACUGAGAGGUUGGUCCCCCACACUGGUACUGAGACACGGACCAGACUCCUACGGGAGGCAGCAGUGAGGAAUAUUGGUCAAUGGGCGAGAGCCUGAACCAGCCAAGUCGCGUGAAGGAAGAAGGAUCUAUGGUUCGUAAACUUCUUUUGCAGGGGAAUAAAGUGCAGGACGUGUCCUGUUUUGUAUGUACCCUGAGAAUAAGGAUCGGCUAACUCCGUGCCAGCAGCCGCAGUAA
Molecule: ribosomal RNA, 504 nt
Filed under: uncultured bacterium
Lineage: Bacteria
Description: partial 16S ribosomal RNA
Rfam family: Bacterial small subunit ribosomal RNA
Source: RNAcentral